Molecule: long non-coding RNA, 1177 nt
Organism: Pelmatolapia mariae (spotted tilapia)
Lineage: Eukaryota; Metazoa; Chordata; Actinopteri; Cichliformes; Cichlidae
Exons: 8
Source: RefSeq, a predicted model, not a curated record
GAAGAAGAAGGCUAUGGCGGAACUCCCACAGAGGCCAGCAGGUGGAUGAGGAGAGACCCGAGGCGGCCGCCGGUCUGAGUGUCAGGUGAACUGAACUUCAGGACAGUUAGCAUGCAGUCUGGAGCAGCCAGGGAUCGACCCAAAAACCAUCUGAUUAGUAGAUGACCUGCUCCACCUCCUGAGCCACAGCCGCCCCUUUUAGAGGUAAAGAAUCAAUUAGAAAGAGCUGGCGUCAUGUUGUGGAAGCUGCCAUCUUGCCCCCACCAUCAUACGCUGGCUGAGAUGGGCAUCGCUGCUCCGCCUUUUCAUGUUUUAUGCAUUACGCUGACGGACGGAUGGAUGGACAAUGAAUGCUUUCUCGUCCUUCUUGUCAUGCACCAUGGAAGUGUCUGAGGGGCUUUUCCACUUGGAAUCGGGAUACUGUGUCCACACUUCAGAGGUGGAGUUUCCAGCAUCUCACCUGGGCCUCAUCUGCAAACAAUCAGCAGGAGGGCUUCUUAAACCAGCGCUGCCUGCUACUCCUCGCCAGUUUGUUCUGCCAUCUCCAGUGCUUCUCCAGUGGGACUGAAGCCAUCCAUCCCACCAGCCAGCGGCCCUUCGGGUGAGAGGAAGGGCCCCGUCGUCAUGGCGCCUGUCAACGUGGAGCCAGCCGGGCGAGUUUGUCCUAGAAAGCUUAUUUGCCAUCUUCACCUUGCUCUCUGAACGCAAGAGCUGUAUCAUCAUGGCUGAACCACUGGAGAAGCCGCUAAACAAAUCUCUGCAGAGGAGAAGAGCCACAGUUUGACCAGCUGAUCAGCUCUAUGAGUUCUCUUGCUGGGUACUGCCUGCCAUCCAUCCUGAAGACUCUGUUCGACUGGUACAAGAGGCAAAAUGGCCUGGAGGACGAGUCCCAUGAACAUCGACCCGGGGCCAAGUCAAAAAAGAGUCUCUGUUCUCCUCCUGACCUACCUGACUCUGGAGUAGUUCCUCGUCAUCGUUUUCCCUUUUAGCAAUUUGCGCCCAGGCAAACUUCAGACAGGGGUAAGUUGCACUAGUCAUAAUAAUGUGCCUGAUGAAGGUCAUCCAACUGUUGUCUUUGUCCACAAACUAAUUAUCGCUCUUAUUUUGAAGAAAGACUGGGUUUGUGCUGCUGGAAUAUCAUCUUUAGGUUGGUGUUUAAGUGGAUCAGAAAGUGUGG